Molecule: ribosomal RNA, 120 nt
Filed under: Petromyzon marinus (sea lamprey)
Lineage: Eukaryota; Metazoa; Chordata; Hyperoartia; Petromyzontiformes; Petromyzontidae
Source: RNAcentral
GCCUUUGAACAAAUCACCCAGAUUGCACCAGAUCUCAUCAGACAUCGGAAGCUAAGCAGGGCUAUGCCUUGGAACUGCUUGAAUGGGCGACCGUCUUGAAUAAGGGAUGCUCUACAGGCU